This 305-nucleotide ribosomal RNA is filed under the name uncultured bacterium. Its description in RNAcentral is "partial 16S ribosomal RNA". It matches the Rfam family "Bacterial small subunit ribosomal RNA", at positions 335 to 658 of the family's 1533-position model. The record is from RNAcentral.
GUCCUACGGGGGGCAGCAGUGGGGGAUAUUGCACAAUGGGGGGAACCCUGAUGCAGCGACGCCGCGUGGGUGAAGAAGCGCCUCGGCGCGUAAAGCCCUGUCAGCAGGGAAGAAAAUGACGGUACCUGAAGAAGAAGCCCCGGCUAACUACGUGCCAGCAGCCGCGGUAAUACGUAGGGGGCAAGCGUUAUCCGGAUUUACUGGGUGUAAAGGGAGCGUAGACGGCGAUGCAAGUCUGAAGUGAAAGGCGGGGGCCCAACCCCCGGACUGCCUUGGAAACUGCAUGGCUGGAGUGCAGGGGAGGG